RNAcentral lists this ribosomal RNA (252 nucleotides) under uncultured bacterium. Its description in RNAcentral is "partial 16S ribosomal RNA". It matches the Rfam family "Bacterial small subunit ribosomal RNA", at positions 524 to 776 of the family's 1533-position model. The record is from RNAcentral.
UACAGAGGGGCAAGCGUUGUUCGGAAUUACUGGGCGUAAAUGGCGCGUAGGCGGCCUGUUAAGUCGAACGUGAAAUCCCCGGGCUCAACCCGGGAACUGCGUCCGAUACUGGCAGGCUUGAAUCCGGGAGAGGGAUGCGGAAUUCCAGGUGUAGCGGUGAAAUGCGUAGAUAUCUGGAGGAACACCGGUGGCGAAGGCGGCAUCCUGGACCGGCAUUGACGCUGAGGCGCGAAAGCCAGGGGAGCAAACGGG